GUGUGUAGAGCUUAUCCUCCUUCUAGCCAGUCACACCCCAAGCAGGCAGUUCCCACCUUGGAGGCAAAGGCUCAUUGCACUGAAUCCACAGCUCCAAGGCCAGAACCAGGCAGGCAGGGUCAGGAGCUAAGGCUUCCAGUCACCUUCCAUCAUGGGGACCACCAAUUUACCACUCGACCUUUCUCAGACACCCUUGCACUUUGUCCUGGCCUCACACUCUGGCCUCACUGUCACCAUCCCUGAGCCAGCCAAAGUGCAGAAUUGCUCAGUCCCCACUUCUCUGCCACCUGCCUCUGCUGAGCCUUUGUGGCAUUGCCCUGUGUAACCCAGCUCUCACUGCCCUGGAUGAGGGGCCCUGCAUAUGGAGCCAAUGAUCACGAAUGCCCAUCUAUGGCCCUGGUCUCCCUCAGAGCAGUAGGGAAAGCAGGUGUGGGGCUGGCCCCUGGGAAAGAUCCUUCCUGAGGCCUUUGUGACCUUGAAUCUCAGAGCAGAGUCAACACUAGGGGCCCUUUGGUAGUUUCUGGGAGGUUCUCACUCCCCUUCCAUUUCUACAUCUGUUGUUCAUAGGUCAUAGGAAGGAUAAAUUUUGUGAGUUUCCUAUAAGCAAGACCCCAAGGGGCUCUAGAUUUUCAAACGGAUCAGUGCCAUUCUAGAAGCGGUUCUUGUGUGCACCCCCUCAGUGGACACAGCCUCGGGAAGGACCAAGUACUGAAAGUGGCAUGAACUCCAGCGGGUACCUUAGAAGGUUCCAGGGAGGGCAGAUGUCUUGGGCCACCCCUAAAAAUCCUGAGCUGGGCACCAAGGCUGCCUGCACAGAUGACCUUGUUGGGGCAGGACUCCCAAACCUGUUCUAGGCCUAAGGAUCUCAUGUUAGACUUUAGAAGUGGGUCCCAUGAACAUCACAUGACUUAUGAACAGCACAGUAAUCCCAAAAGCCCUGAUGCCUCAGGUAGGAUCAGAAGGCACCAUUUUCCAAGGAGUUCAGAUGUCUCUAAGCAAAUUCCCUCUCAGCUCCCCUGGGAAAAUGUCAUUUCCAGGGUGCCCAGUUUAGACACUUCAGGGAUUCAGCGACCACCAAGGAGAGAAGUGUGGCUUAGGACUAUAGGUCCCCACCACCCUGGGGCAUGUCUCCGGUGGCCUCAUCCUGGAUGUGACACAUCUCCAUCAGGAGCCUUUAUGACAGUAAGAUUCCACAUGAACCUUGACGGUAAUCACUCCCAAUAAUUUAUUUGUUAUUUCCAGAAAGAUACAUGAGAAGCUUAGAAGGACCCAGCCCUCGAUGUUACUAUUUUUAUUUUCAAAGCCAUAUUUUUGUGCUCAUAGCACUUAGAUCAAUCUGUCUGUGUGCCCCUCCCUGCAUUCCACAACCUGGGUUGGUUCUAAAGAAGAUUUAUUUUUGUUCUGUGAAUAAUUUUGGACAGUUCUUGUACAUGUACAGAUAGAGAAAAUAACAUUUGAGAUCUUUUAUUGCUAUUCCUACAAAGAACACAAAUAAACUUUAACUUUAAACAUUUCA
Long non-coding RNA from Suncus etruscus (white-toothed pygmy shrew), 1516 nucleotides. RefSeq lists it as uncharacterized. The record is from RefSeq and is a predicted model, not a curated record. NCBI's taxonomy places the organism in Eukaryota, Metazoa, Chordata, Mammalia, Eulipotyphla, Soricidae. The transcript has 2 exons.